GAGUAAUACAAGUGUUUCCGCAAAAAAAAACUUUGCCCCUUUUCUUUUCUUUUUUUUACGAAAACUUCAGCUUUGUUUGCAUACAUGGGCAGAGACAUGAAUGGUUUACUCCGCGGCGGCUGUGGCCCCAUACGGACUACUCCCUCCGUUUUUAGAUAUAAAUUUUUGUAGAUUUCAAUAGGCCAGCGCUAGCCGGUCCAGCCCAGGCCGUUGGAUUUAAGCCGUGCGACCGUUGGAUCCGGGCAAAAAAAAGCAAACAAAUCGCCCCAGCUUCUUCUUCCUUCCUCCGCGUACGCAUCUAGCCGUCAUGGAUGAGCGAGGCCCCCGACUCGAAGCACCACCCGGCUUGGCCGCCCCCAACGCCGGUCACCGCCCUCGCCACCGGUUGCUGCCCUCGCCGUAGGUUGCCUCCUUCGCACGCGCGUCACUGCUCCUCCCAACCAUCUCACUUGUUCGCAGCUUCCGUCGUGGUCGGAUCCCCCGCCAAACUUGGCCAUGGCUGACACGGAGCCUCCGUCGGCAGCGGUUGAAGCUCCCCGCCCCCGUGGUUGCAGCAUCUGGUGCACCACCCCCCUCCGUCCUCGCCGUCGAGCUCGCCGCAGGCGUCGCCGUCUCUGCUGGCCUCCAUCGACAUGCAUCGUACCUACAGAAUUCCAGUGGUUGAUUGAAGCAAAAUCAAACAACGCUUGCAGCAAAACCAAACUUAGGUUCCAGCAAAAAUGACAUGAAACAUUUGAGAGCUCUGCAGCCGAUGAAGCAAAAAAUUACAUCUGUUCCAGCAAAACAAUACAUCGGUUCCAGCAAAAACAAAAAUUUUGGUUCUGUAAAAAAGAAAAAAACAUCAGCAAAAACGGCCACCCCCUUCUUGCAGCUCCCCUGGUCACCGGUUGUAGCUCCAGCGUACAUGGUUGCAACUCCCGGUGUUUGAACGACGUUGGAUGCAGCCCUCCUCCCCACUGGAUGCAGCUUCCUCCGGCGAGGUGUCAACCUUGCAGCACAGCCACCAGCUGGUUCCAGCAAAUCGGGACACCGCUUCCAGCAAAAAUGAAAAAAGUUCAUCAAAUCAAAUGAGGAUGGUAGCAAAAAAGAAAAGGGUUGUAGCAAAACUAAUGAGUGGAUCCAGCAAAUAAAAAAUCUGGUUCCACCAACCCUCCGGCUCCAGCACAGACUCGUCGCUGCCGUGGCCGAUUGCAGCUUGGUCAUGGUGAACUAACGAAGCCCUGGCUAUGGUUACCAUGGAGAGGGCGUUCGUCCAGUUGCCGGCGGACAAGGCGACGAGCGCGCCCCUGGCUGUCGGCGGCCAUGGAGAGGGGUGAAUCCGGCGCCGGUGAUCCGCGCAUGAUUCAAAACGAGGAGCAUCGAGUUGCCGGCAGCUAUGGCGACGAGCGCGCCCGGGAUGCGAGUGGAUGGGGAGGAAGACGCGACUGGAUAAGGAAGGAGAUGAGCAACGAAGGGAUAAGAAAAAAAAGCCACGCGUGUCGCGGGCGGUGCGCGGACCCCAACAGCCUCGCAUUUGU
RNAcentral lists this ribosomal RNA (1517 nucleotides) under Triticum aestivum (bread wheat). Its description in RNAcentral is "partial small subunit ribosomal RNA". The record is from RNAcentral. Lineage: Eukaryota; Viridiplantae; Streptophyta; Magnoliopsida; Poales; Poaceae.